AUUAGAUACCCUGGUAGUCCACGCCGUAAACGAUGUCGACUUGGAGGUUGUGCCCUUGAGGCGUGGCUUCCGGAGCUAACGCGUUAAGUCGACCGCCUGGGGAGUACGGCCGCAAGGUUAAAACUCUUAUGAAUUGACGGGGGCCCGCACAAGCGGUGGAGCAUGUGGUUUAAUUCGAUGCAACGCGAAGAACCUUACCUGGUCUUGACAUCCACGGAAGUUUUCAGAGAUGAGAAUGUGCCUUCGGGAACCGUGAGACAGGUGCUGCAUGGCUGUCGUCAGCUCGUGUUGUGAAAUGUUGGGUUAAGUCCCGCAACGAGCGCAACCCUUAUCCUUUGUUGCCAGCGGUCCGGCCGGGAACUCAAAGGAGACUGCCAGUGAUAAACUGGAGGAAGGUGGGGAUGACGUCAAGUCAUCAUGGCCCUUACGACCAGGGCUACACACGUGCUACAAUGGCGCAUACAAAGAGAAGCGACCUCGCGAGAGCAAGCGGACCUCAUAAAGUGCGUCGUAGUCCGGAUUGGAGUCUGCAACUCGACUCCAUGAAGUCGGAAUCGCUAGUAAUCGUGGAUCAGAAUGCCACGGUGAAUACGUUCCCGGGCCUUGUACACACCGCCCGUCACACCAUGGGAGUGGGUUGCAAAAGAAGUAGGUAGCUUAACCUUCGGGAGGGCGCUUACCACUUUGUGAUUCAUGACUGGGGUGAAGUCGUAACAAGGUAACCGUAGGGGAACCUG
Molecule: ribosomal RNA, 737 nt
Filed under: Shigella sp. S2
Lineage: Bacteria; Pseudomonadati; Pseudomonadota; Gammaproteobacteria; Enterobacterales; Enterobacteriaceae
Description: bacterial SSU rRNA
Rfam family: Bacterial small subunit ribosomal RNA
Source: RNAcentral